This 279-nucleotide ribosomal RNA is filed under the name uncultured bacterium. RNAcentral's name for it is "partial 16S ribosomal RNA". It matches the Rfam family "Bacterial small subunit ribosomal RNA", at positions 506 to 784 of the family's 1533-position model. The record is from RNAcentral.
UGCCAGCCGCCGCGGUAAUACGAAGGGGGCAAGCGUUGUUCGGAAUUAUUGGGCGUAAAGCGUAUGUAGGUGGUCUUUCAAGUCAGGCGUGCAAGCCCUCGGCUCAACCGGGGAAUUGCGCUUGAAACUGAGAGACUUGAGUGUAGGAGAGGAAAGCGGAAUUCCCAGUGUAGCGGUGAAAUGCGUUGAUAUUGGGAAGAACACCGGUGGCGAAGGCGGCUUUCUGGCCUGCUACUGACACUGAGAUACGAAAGCCAGGGGAGCAAAUGGGAUUAGAUA